AACGAACGCUGGCGGCGUGGAUGAGGCAUGCAAGUCGAACGAAAGUUAGAGCUAGUAGCAAUAGUAAUUCUGACGAAAGUGGCGUAAAGGGUGAGUAACGCGUGACGUAAUUUACCUUCGAAGUUGGGCAUAACCCUGCGAAAGCGGGGAUAAUUCCGAAUGUGGGUAGCUCCGGGGCAUCCGGGGCGAUCUAAAGGCGGGGAUCGUAAGACCUGUCGCUUGAAGAUGAGCUCACGUCCAUCA
This 243-nucleotide ribosomal RNA is filed under the name uncultured bacterium. Its description in RNAcentral is "partial 16S ribosomal RNA". It matches the Rfam family "Bacterial small subunit ribosomal RNA", at positions 29 to 243 of the family's 1533-position model. The record is from RNAcentral.